GACGAACGCUGGCGGCGUGCUUAACACAUGCAAGUCGAGCGGAGCGGCGAACGGGUGAGUAACGCGUGAGUAAUUGCCCCCCUCUCUGUGAUAACAGUUGGAAACGGCUGCUAAUACCGGAUAGGGGGGGAUGACUCGCGUCCUAUCUGCUUGUUGGUGGGGUAGUGGCCUACCAAGGCGACGACGGGUAGCCGGCCUGAGAGGGCGACCGGCCACAAGGGGCUGAGAUACGGCGCAAACUGCAACGGGAGGCAGCAGGGGGGAAUAUUGCACAAUGGUGGAAACACUGAUGCAGCAACGCCGCGUGCGGGAUGACGGCCUUCGGGUUGGAAACCGCUUUCAGCCAUGACGCGGUAGUGGCAGAAGAAGCGCCGGCUAACUACGUGCCAGCAGCCGCGGUAAUAC
This 405-nucleotide ribosomal RNA is filed under the name uncultured bacterium. RNAcentral's name for it is "partial 16S ribosomal RNA". It matches the Rfam family "Bacterial small subunit ribosomal RNA", at positions 28 to 526 of the family's 1533-position model. The record is from RNAcentral.